RNAcentral lists this ribosomal RNA (171 nucleotides) under uncultured Campylobacterota bacterium. RNAcentral's name for it is "uncultured Epsilonproteobacteria bacterium partial 16S ribosomal RNA". It matches the Rfam family "Bacterial small subunit ribosomal RNA", at positions 337 to 525 of the family's 1533-position model. The record is from RNAcentral. Lineage: Bacteria; Pseudomonadati; Campylobacterota.
UCCUACGGGAGGCAGCAGUGAGGAAUAUUGCACAAUGGAGGAAACUCUGAUGCAGCAACGCCGCGUGGAGGAUGACGCAUUUCGGUGUGUAAACUCCUUUUAAGAGGGAAGAUAAUGACGGUACCUCUUGAAUAAGCACCGGCUAACUCCGUGCCAGCAGCCGCGGUAAUA